RNAcentral lists this ribosomal RNA (253 nucleotides) under uncultured bacterium. RNAcentral's name for it is "partial 16S ribosomal RNA". It matches the Rfam family "Bacterial small subunit ribosomal RNA", at positions 524 to 776 of the family's 1533-position model. The record is from RNAcentral.
UACGAAGGGGGCUAGCGUUGCUCAGAAUUACUGGGCGUAAAGCGCACGUAGGCGGCUUCUUAAGUCGGUGGUGAAAUCCUGGAGCUCAACUCCAGAACUGCCUUCGAUACUGGGAAGCUCGAGUCCGGGAGAGGUGAGUGGAAUUCCGAGUGUAGAGGUGAAAUUCGUAGAUAUUCGGAGGAACACCAGUGGCGAGGGCGGCUCACUGGCUCGACACUGACGCUGAGGUGCGAAAGCGUGGGGAGCAAACAGG